CUCCUGGAAACAUGGCUUUCUUAGAGAGGGAGAUCCCCCUCUUUUGGACCCGCAUUACCAAAUGCUUCCUUGAUCCUCUGUCAAAAGACUCGAGUUUGUUUGGGAAUGCAGCUCAAAAAAGGGUGGUAAUUUCCAUCUAAAAGCUAAAUAUAGGGCGAGAGACCCGAUAGCGAAACAAGUUCCGUGAGGGGAAAGAUGAAAAGCACUUUGGAAAGAGAGUUAAACAGUACGUGAAAUUGCUGAAAGGGAAACGCUUGAAGUCAGUCACGUCUGCCAGGACUCAGCCUUGCUUCUGCUUGGUGCACUUUCUGGUUUGAUGGGCCAACAUCAAUUUCGACCGUUGGAGAAAGGCUUUGGGAAUGUGGCACCUUCGGGUGUGUUAUAGCCCUUUGUUGUAUACAANNAAUUGGGAUUGAGGACUGCAGCACGCCUUUAUGGCCGGGGUUCGCCCACGUACGUGCUUAGGAUGUU
Molecule: ribosomal RNA, 471 nt
Filed under: uncultured fungus
Lineage: Eukaryota; Fungi
Description: eukaryotic LSU rRNA
Rfam family: Eukaryotic large subunit ribosomal RNA
Source: RNAcentral